GUUAAUCUUACCUGAACGCCGACGAUGUACUUUCGCUUUGACUAAAAUUGAACAAAACUUUGAUGCUGAUAUGGUUUUCAAAUUAGCGAAGCUAUUGGGUCUUGUUGGUGCAGGUGUGGUGAUAGGGAUUUACAUUGACCAAAAUUAUGAUGUACCAAGGGUAAAUAAACAGUCCUGGGAGAGUUUAAUGAAGAAAAUGGAAGAUCUGAAAAAAGACAACAAGACAGACUCAAAGUGACUCCAGCUUUAUUGUACAAUCCCUUCUUUUUACAAAGUUUUGUUAACACUGUGAUAUACCUGGAACCAAUCACAUGUUUUGUGCAUGUAAAUUAAAAAUGUAAAUAAAGACAUUCCCUUUA
Molecule: long non-coding RNA, 359 nt
Organism: Saccostrea cuccullata (small rock oyster)
Lineage: Eukaryota; Metazoa; Mollusca; Bivalvia; Ostreida; Ostreidae
Exons: 3
Source: RefSeq, a predicted model, not a curated record